UACGGAGGGGGCUAGCGUUGUUCGGAAUUACUGGGCGUAAAGCGCGCGUAGGCGGACCUGCAAGUCGGGGGUGAAAGCCCGAGGCUCAACCUCGGAACUGCCUUCGAUACUGCGGGUCUCGAGUCCGGGAGAGGUGAGUGGAAUUCCUAGUGUAGAGGUGAAAUUCGUAGAUAUCAGGAAGAACACCCGUGGCGAAAGCGGCUCUCUGGAACGGUACUGACGCUGAGACGCGAAAGCGUGGGGAGCGAACAGG
RNAcentral lists this ribosomal RNA (253 nucleotides) under uncultured bacterium. RNAcentral's name for it is "partial 16S ribosomal RNA". It matches the Rfam family "Bacterial small subunit ribosomal RNA", at positions 524 to 776 of the family's 1533-position model. The record is from RNAcentral.